CACAACAACCACCACACCCACAAAGUCCACAGCAACCAUAACUACAACCACCACACUGACAACAACCACCACGCCCACAAAGCCCACAACAACUACAACCACUACACUCACAACUACAACCACCACACCAACAACAACCACCACACCCACAAAGCCCACAACUACAACCACCACAAAGCCCACAACUACAACCACCACACCGACAACAACCACCACACCCACAAAUCCCACAACUACAACCACUACACCCGCAACUACAACCACCACACCCACAAAGCCCACAACUACAACCACCACACCGACAACAACCACCACACCCACAACAACCAUGACAACUACAACCACAACGACCACAACAACUACAACCACAAGGACCACGCCCACAACUACAAUAACCACAACAACCCCAACUACUACAACUACUAAACCUACCACAGUUACUAUAAUAACUGAUCCCCCAAACCUCAAGGAAGAGCAGCCAGUGUCUCUCACCUUCAAUCUCGUUAAAGAGUUCACAAGUGAGCUUCAGGACAGCAUGUCACCUGUCUACAUAAACCUGGUUUAUAUAGUCAUUAUACAGAUUAACAUCAUUUAUCAAGCCAGAUUUCCAUUAACCUACAAACGAUGCAUCAUCAACGGUUUUACGAAAGGAUCAGUUAUAGUAGAUUCAACACUCGUCUUCUCCAACGAAACACUCCCCACCGAUGUCGAGAUUGUAGAAACACUUUACGACGCCUGGCAGGGAAACCAGACUUCCUUGAUUCUUGUAAAUAACACCAUCCAUGUUUGUAAGUGCACAGUGUCAUUUUUGAGCCUGAUAUUCAAGAAAAUAAAAGAACAACAUCAAAUAAAUGUACAAUUAAUGUAUUAUUAUUAUUUUUCCCUUGCAGUGACUCCAACACCAACACCCGCAGCCACCCCGACCCCGUCUGCCUCCAGUACCUCUCCAGAGAUGCUGCUAUUUUCAGCAAUGGCUCUGCUAAUCACAACUGCUCUUUUAAUAUUACAUAACCUUUCAUUAGUAUAGCAUAUAAUAAUAUAGGACUUCUGGCCCCGUUCCACCAUUCCCAAACCUCUAAAAAAAAUCCAAAAGAAUCCAGGCAUUUAAAUGUAUUUAUGAAGCUUAGAAGCUAAUAUUAAAUUACAUUUACCUGAGUUUUGAAAUUUGUAAAUAAAAAUACAUACUUCAGAUUUUAAAAAUUCA
This 1204-nucleotide long non-coding RNA is filed under the name Astyanax mexicanus (Mexican tetra). RNAcentral's name for it is "lncRNA (ENSAMXG00005004800.1)". Lineage: Eukaryota; Metazoa; Chordata; Actinopteri; Characiformes; Acestrorhamphidae. The record is from RNAcentral.